RNAcentral lists this ribosomal RNA (409 nucleotides) under uncultured Alloscardovia sp. RNAcentral's name for it is "bacterial SSU rRNA". It matches the Rfam family "Bacterial small subunit ribosomal RNA", at positions 355 to 776 of the family's 1533-position model. Lineage: Bacteria; Bacillati; Actinomycetota; Actinomycetes; Bifidobacteriales; Bifidobacteriaceae. The record is from RNAcentral.
UGGGGAAUAUUGCACAAUGGGGGGAACCCUGAUGCAGCGACGCCGCGUGCGGGAUGACGGCCUUCGGGUUGUAAACCGCUUUUAUUGGGGAGCAAGCGUGAGUGAGUGUACCUUUUGAAUAAGCACCGGCUAACUACGUGCCAGCAGCCGCGGUAAUACGUAGGGUGCAAGCGUUGUCCGGAAUUAUUGGGCGUAAAGAGCUCGUAGGCGGUUUGUCGCGUCUGGUGUGAAAGUCCAUCGCUUAACGGUGGAUUGGCGCUGGGUACGGGCAGGCUAGAGUGUAGUAGGGGAGACUGGAAUUCUCGGUGUAACGGUGGAAUGUGUAGAUAUCGGGAAGAACACCAAUGGCGAAGGCAGGUCUCUGGGCUAUUACUGACGCUGAGGCUCGAAAGCAUGGGUAGUGAACAGG